AGUGAACGCUGGCGGUAGGCCUAACACAUGCAAGUCGAACGGCAGCACAGUAAGAGCUUGCUCUUACGGGUGGCGAGUGGCGGACGGGUGAGGAAUACAUCGGAAUCUACUUUUUCGUGGGGGAUAACGUAGGGAAACUUACGCUAAUACCGCAUACGACCUACGGGUGAAAGCAGGGGAUCUUCGGACCUUGCGCGAUUGAAUGAGCCGAUGUCGGAUUAGCUAGUUGGCGGGGUAAAGGCCCACCAAGGCGACGAUCCGUAGCUGGUCUGAGAGGAUGAUCAGCCACACUGUAACUGAGACACGGUCCAGACUCCUACGGGAGGCAACAGUGGGGAAUAUUGUACAAUGGGCGCAAGCCUGAUCCAGCCAUACCGCGUGGGUGAAGAAGGCCUUCGGGUUGUAAAGCCCUUUUGUUGGGAAAGAAAAGCAGCAGGUUAAUACCCCGCUGUUCUGACGGUACCCAAAGAAUAAGCACCGGCUAACUUCGUG
This 492-nucleotide ribosomal RNA is filed under the name uncultured bacterium. RNAcentral describes it as "partial 16S ribosomal RNA". It matches the Rfam family "Bacterial small subunit ribosomal RNA", at positions 29 to 507 of the family's 1533-position model. The record is from RNAcentral.